AGCGAACGCUGGCGGCAGGCCUAACACAUGCAAGUCGAACGAACCCUUCGGGGUUAGUGGCGGUCGGGUGAGUAACGCGUGGGAACGUGCCUUUAGGCUCGGAAUUAUACAUGUACACUUGUGCUAAUACCGAAUGUGUUCCUCGGGGGCAAGAUUAAUCGCCUUUAGAGCGGCCCGCGUCUGUUUAGCCAGUUGGGUGUGGUAAUGCCGCAUCAAGGUGACGAAAAGUAGCUGGUCUGAGAGAAAGAGCAGCCACAUUGGUACUGAGACGCAGCGCAGAAUACUGCGGGAUGCAGCAAUGGGGGAUCCUGCGCAACGGGGGAGAGGAUGACGCAGCCAGGCCGGGUGAAUGAUGAAGUUCUUAAGAAUGUGAAAUUCUUUCACACGGGGCGGUAAUGACGGUACCCGGAGAAGAAGCACCGGCUAACUUCGUG
RNAcentral lists this ribosomal RNA (434 nucleotides) under uncultured bacterium. Its description in RNAcentral is "partial 16S ribosomal RNA". It matches the Rfam family "Bacterial small subunit ribosomal RNA", at positions 29 to 507 of the family's 1533-position model. The record is from RNAcentral.